This is a non-coding RNA of Cinara cedri, 870 nucleotides long. The record is from the annotation of a GenBank genome assembly. NCBI's taxonomy places the organism in Eukaryota, Metazoa, Arthropoda, Insecta, Hemiptera, Aphididae.
GAACAAUUCAACUUGAAUGUUUUCAUUUAUUGGACUAAAUUGUGGCUGAACAUAGUAGACUUUAUUCAUUAUUAUCUGGAAUUAAUCUUAAACCUAAAUUUCAUGUAUUGACCUAUUAUGGGGGACCUUUAUUGUUGAUUUCUUCGAUUAGAUUUGAAAUACAUAACAUACAAAACAAACAAUCAAACAAGUAUUGUUUUUUAUAUAUUAGAUAUGAUAAAAUCAAUAAUAAUAAGCAACAAUUAAAUACCCAUUUAAAUAACCGUUAAAUAACAAAGUAGGUUGUAGUCGAUGGGGGGAUUAGGCAUUAGGAAGGAUUUCGUAGAUAGGGAGUUCGAUCCCACCGCGAGAGAUUAGAAAAUUUGCAGAACACCAAACCUUUUUUUUACAAAGAUUUUUUUUUCAAAAUUAUAUUUAGUAGUUUUAAUACCAAACCGUAGUUAUUUUAAACACUGUUAUUGUUGUAUCUGCCCCUUAUUAGAGUGAGCGUACACAUCAAGCAUUUACCAUAAAUUCAAUGUAUUACCAAUAUAUUGUAGUUAAACCAAUAUCAAUUUUCUUUUAAACAAAAAACGACGUGCAAUGUGUAUUAGAUUAACAUUUGGUGUGUUAAAACAAAUGCGUUUUUCUAUGUAUGUUUUACUGUUUAAAAACCGUUAAAAAAAACUACAAUAGAUUCUUCGCUACGUUCCGAAUCUAAAAGAUACGUGUACAUUUAUUAAACACAAGCCCGUGAGGAGCUCUACCCUCCAAAACCUUAAGUUACUACUUUCAUAUUUUAAAUGUAUUAAUUCCUAAUUUGUGUUAUUUUUAAUUCAGUGAUAUAUUUUUACACAUUUCAUCGGUGCAAACAUAACAUUUUUUCCUAGU